CAAGUCGAGCGGUUGAGGGUAGCUUGCUACCCGAUGCAGCGGCGGACGGGUGAGUAAUACAUGGGAAUCUGCCUGGUAGUGGGGGACAACGUUUUCGAAAGGAACGCUAAUACCGCAUACGCCCUACGGGGGAAAGGGGGGGAUCGCAAGACCUCUCGCUAUCAGAUGAGCCCAUGUCGGAUUAGCUAGUUGGUGGGGUAAAGGCUCACCAAGGCGACGAUCCGUAACUGGUCUGAGAGGAUGAUCAGUCACACUGGAACUGAGACACGGUCCAGACUCCUACGGGAGGCAGCAGUGGGGAAUAUUGGACAAUGGGCGCAAGCCUGAUCCAGCCAUGCCGCGUGUGUGAAGAAGGCCUUAGGGUUGUAAAGCACUUUCAGUGGGGAGAAAGGUAGUUCACUUAAUACGUGAGCUAAUUGAUGUUACCCACAGAAGAAGCACCGGCUAACUCCGUGCCAGCAGCCGCGGUAAUACGGAGGGUGCAAGCGUUAAUCGGAAUUACUGGGCGUAAAGCGCACGUAGGUGGUUUGUUAAGCCAGCUGUGAAAUCCCCGGGCUCAACCUGGGCACUGCAGUUGGAACUGGCAAGCUAGAGUAGGGUAGAGGGGUGUGGAAUUCCAGGUGUAGCGGUGAAAUGCGUAGAUAUCUGGAGGAACAUCAGUGGCGAAGGCGACACCCUGGACUCAUACUGACACUGAGGUGCGAAAGCGUGGGGAGCAACAGGAUUAGAUACCCUGGUAUUCCACGCCGUAAACGAUGUCUACUAGCCGUUGGGAGCCUUGACCUCUUAGUGGCCCACCUAACGCACUAAUUAAACCGCCUGGGGAAUACGGUCCCCAAA
RNAcentral lists this ribosomal RNA (840 nucleotides) under uncultured Cellvibrio sp. RNAcentral's name for it is "bacterial SSU rRNA". It matches the Rfam family "Bacterial small subunit ribosomal RNA", at positions 58 to 893 of the family's 1533-position model. Lineage: Bacteria; Pseudomonadati; Pseudomonadota; Gammaproteobacteria; Cellvibrionales; Cellvibrionaceae. The record is from RNAcentral.